UAAGCGGAGGAAAAGAAACUAACAAGGAUUCCCCUAGUAACGGCGAGUGAACCGGGAAGAGCUCAAAUUUGAAAUCUGGCGUGCUCAGUGCGUCCGAGUUGUAAUCUAUAGAGUCGUUUUCCGUGCCGGACUGUGUCCAAGUCCCUUGGAACAGGGUAUCAAAGAGGGUGAUAAUCCCGUACUUGACACAAUGACCGGUGCUCUGUGAUACGUCUUCUACGAGUCGAGUUGUUUGGGAAUGCAGCUCAAAAUGGGUGGUGAGUUCCAUCUAAAGCUAAAUAUUGGCGAGAGACCGAUAGCGAACAAGUACCGUGAGGGAAAGAUGAAAAGCACUUUGGAAAGAGAGUUAAACAGUACGUGAAAUUGUUAAAAGGGAAACGAUUGAAGUCAGUCGUGACUGAGAGGCUCAGCCGGUUCUGCCGGUGUAUUCCCCUCAGUCGGGUCAACAUCAGUUUUGUUCGGUGGAUAAGGGCAGUUGGAAGGUGGCACCCUCGGGUGUGUUAUAGCCAGCUGUCGCAUACAUCGGAUGAGACUGAGGAAUGCAGCUCGCCUUUAUGGCCGGGGUUCGCCCACGUUCGAGCUUAGGAUGUUGACAUAAUGGCUUUAAACGACCCGUCUUGAA
Molecule: ribosomal RNA, 622 nt
Filed under: Papiliotrema flavescens
Lineage: Eukaryota; Fungi; Basidiomycota; Tremellomycetes; Tremellales; Rhynchogastremaceae
Description: eukaryotic LSU rRNA
Rfam family: Eukaryotic large subunit ribosomal RNA
Source: RNAcentral